UACGUAGGGUGCAAGCGUUAAUCGGAAUUACUGGGCGUAAAGCGUGCGCAGGCGGUUGUGCAAGACAGAUGUGAAAAUCCCCGGGCGUUAACCUGGGAACGUGCAUUUGUUGACUGCAAAGCUAGAGUGUGGCAGAGGGGGGUGGGAAUUCCACGUGUAGCAGUGAAAUGCGUAGAGAUGUGGAGGAACACCGAUGGCGAAGGCAGCCCCCUGGG
RNAcentral lists this ribosomal RNA (215 nucleotides) under uncultured bacterium. RNAcentral describes it as "partial 16S ribosomal RNA". It matches the Rfam family "Bacterial small subunit ribosomal RNA", at positions 524 to 733 of the family's 1533-position model. The record is from RNAcentral.